UACGGAGGGUGCAAGCGUUGUCCGGAUUUAUUGGGUUUAAAGGGUGCGUAGGCGGCCCUGUAAGUCAGUGGUGAAAUACUGCAGCUUAACUGUAGCAUUGCCAUUGAUACUGCAGGGCUUGAGUACAGAUGAGGUAGGCGGAAUUGAUGGUGUAGCGGUGAAAUGCAUAGAUACCAUCAAGAACACCGAUUGCGAAGGCAGCUUACUAAGCUGUAACUGACGCUGAGGCACGAAAGCGUGGGGAUCGAACAGG
Molecule: ribosomal RNA, 253 nt
Filed under: uncultured bacterium
Lineage: Bacteria
Description: partial 16S ribosomal RNA
Rfam family: Bacterial small subunit ribosomal RNA
Source: RNAcentral